This 403-nucleotide ribosomal RNA is filed under the name Bacteroidota bacterium. RNAcentral describes it as "Bacteroidetes bacterium partial 16S ribosomal RNA". It matches the Rfam family "Bacterial small subunit ribosomal RNA", at positions 355 to 776 of the family's 1533-position model. The record is from RNAcentral. Lineage: Bacteria; Pseudomonadati; Bacteroidota.
UGGGGAAUAUUGCACAAUGGGGGAAACCCUGAUGCAGCGACGCCGCGUGAGCGAAGAAGGCCUUCGGGUCGUAAAGCUCUUUUAUAUGGGAAGAUAAUGACGGUACCAUAAGAAAAAGCCCCGGCUAACUACGUGCCAGCAGCCGUGGUAAUACGUAGGGGGCUAGCGUUGUCCGGAAUCACUGGGCGUAAAGGGUUCGCAGGCGGCAAUGCAAGUCAGAUGUAAAAGGCAUAGGCUUAACCUAUGUAAGCAACUGAAACUGUAUAGCUUGAGAAGUGUAGAGGCAAGUGGAAUUUUUAGUGUAGCGGUGAAAUGCGUAGAUAUUAAAAAGAAUACCGGUGGCGAAGGCGACUUGCUGGGCACAAUCUGACGCUGAGGAACGAAAGCGUGGGGAGCAAACAGG